AAUAGAUACCCGGGUAGUCCAUGCCGUAAACGUUGGGCACUAGGUGUGGGGCUCAUUCCACGAGUUCCGUGCCGCAGCAAACGCAUUAAGUGCCCCGCCUGGGGAGUACGGCCGCAAGGCUAAAACUCAAAGGAAUUGACGGGGGCCCGCACAAGCGGCGGAGCAUGCGGAUUAAUUCGAUGCAACGCGAAGAACCUUACCAAGGCUUGACAUGCACGGGAAGCCACCAGAGAUGGUGGUCUCUUUGGACACUCGUGCACAGGUGGUGCAUGGUUGUCGUCAGCUCGUGUCGUGAGAUGUUGGGUUAAGUCCCGCAACGAGCGCAACCCUGUCCCAUGUUGCCAGCGGGUUAUGCCGGGGACUCAUGGGAGACUGCCGGGGUCAACUCGGAGAAGGUGGGAUGACGUCAAAUCAUCAUGCCCCUUAUGUCUUGGGCUUCACGCAUGCUACAAUGGCCGGUACAAAGGGCUGCGAUGCCGUAAGGUGGAGCGAAUCCCGAAAAAGCCGGUCUCAGUUCGGAUUGGGGUCG
Molecule: ribosomal RNA, 529 nt
Filed under: uncultured bacterium
Lineage: Bacteria
Description: bacterial SSU rRNA
Rfam family: Bacterial small subunit ribosomal RNA
Source: RNAcentral